Molecule: long non-coding RNA, 336 nt
Filed under: Musa acuminata (dwarf banana)
Lineage: Eukaryota; Viridiplantae; Streptophyta; Magnoliopsida; Zingiberales; Musaceae
Description: long non-coding RNA (MACU_LNC009360)
Source: RNAcentral
UGUCACGACCCGGGUCUGAUGAGCUAACUGGCCGAUAACUCCAUUUUGGUCCUUGCAACCACGGACCAAAAUGCUUAAGCCGGAGGUAACGUAGUACACUCAUCAGGCCCUUAUAAGCUAAUCACACACAUUCCCCACUUCCGAUGUGGGACUAAUGGGAUAUUACACUCUCCCCAACCCAAUUAGCUUGAUAUCCUCGUCAAGGCCUGACAUAUCCUAGAUCGAACCCUAGCAUAGUGCAUGUGAGGUUUAACUCAGUGGUGGCUCCACGCCGUGAUGAGUUCUCUGACUCCAUCCACGGGUAGCCCUUUCCUACUGCAGCCCUCUCACCNNNNN